GGGGGAGUAGCUCAGGGGGAGAGCGCAUGACUGAAGAUCAUGGUGUCGAGAGUUCGAAUCUCUCCUUCCCCA
Molecule: transfer RNA, 72 nt
Filed under: Candidatus Pacearchaeota archaeon
Lineage: Archaea; Nanobdellati
Description: tRNA-Phe
Rfam family: tRNA
About the family: Transfer RNA (tRNA) molecules are approximately 80 nucleotides in length. Their secondary structure includes four short double-helical elements and three loops (D, anti-codon, and T loops).
Source: RNAcentral